Non-coding RNA from Cricetulus griseus (Chinese hamster), 2805 nucleotides. The record is from RefSeq and is a predicted model, not a curated record. NCBI's taxonomy places the organism in Eukaryota, Metazoa, Chordata, Mammalia, Rodentia, Cricetidae.
CUUUGGUACUUGCUGGACAGACUGCUGCCACGCCGGCUGGCUAGGUUGCUCUGGUUUGGAAUUUGACCUGUGAAGUCUGAGUGUCCAUUGAAUUUAUUAUUACACCUUCUUACUAAUCAGGAUUUACUGUCCUGAUCGUAAAUACACCAGCCAGUUUUCACCCAGAUGAAGGAAAAGUGGCAAAGGAAAGAGCCUGAGAAUUUCUAUUGCAUAGAUGCUGGUUGUUCGGAAGUGCCUGGGGUCAACAGAAUCCACUGGCCUGAGACAAGUAAAGAUGGAGUGUUUUAAUUUGCAGAAAACCAUUACAUUGUUCAUAGAACAAAGCAAAAGCAUCACCAAGAGUGGAAAGUUCUGCAGGCCACAGACCAAGCUUCUCUUCAGAACACAAGCGGCCACCGAAUCAAUGUGUGACUUCAGGUUACACAUCUAUCUUCCUAAUCAGGCAGGCAGUUUCACUAUGAAAGGCAGCAACUUAAACAUAAUCAUGGAUGGUGUAUUUUAUCUGUAGGCAGAUACUCUCAUCAAAUAUCUAAAUAUCUACUUCUGAUGUGGCCAUGCUCUUCAGGUAAUAUCAAGGACCAAGAGUGCUUUCCACACUUUGGCUUCCCAAGUCACAGUACUGGACUGUUAACUCAAAACUUCAACAUCUUUAAAAGCUUAUCUCUGAGGAUAAUUAACAUUCAUGAUGCAAAAUGUGUAAUUAUGGUAGCAUGAACCCAUUUGGAAUAAGACUUUGCUAUUUGCUAUUUUAUUUUUAAUGACAAGCUAGAACGCUCUCAAAUUGAAUUUUUCCCAGAAUAUUUAAGCAACUCUACACUGAUCUUGAAUCUUCACUUACAGUGUAGUAGCAUCAAUUUAACUUUCCCAGAAAAUUAUAUAAACUAUAGCACACCACAGAUGAUAAUGAGCUUCUAGAGCCUUCCCCAAAACCUGAUGAGCUUAAAUCAGACUUCACUGUCCCUAACCUACAUCCCAACAAUCUACUGGACAUGAGAAAGUUUGUUUAAUGACAAAGACACAGGGUUAUGAGAUACUCAAAACAUUAUAAUGGAGACACAUAGCACACAGCUUUUAAGAAAUCUUGGAUGGUGAGGAUUGCUGUCAUGGUAUAUCCAUCCUCCGUAGAAUUAGCUACAAUUAUCCAUUUCAUGACUACUACAUCUAGUUAGGAAAACAUAGUGACCCAAUUCCCAGUUCAACAAUUUUCGCUUGUUGAAAAAUUAAGACUUUUAUCAAAUGAAUUUCUUUAUAAAAAUAGUGUUAAUCCUCCUUGUAGCACUGAAAAAGGAAAUUUAACUUUUCAUUGUUUGAAUAUUAAAUUUUAAGUCAUUUUCAAAAGCUCAAAUAAUUACUUAUUUUCUAACAGGGAUCAAAUCUAAUUUAACUAUCUUCCAAAGGUUUUACAAUGAAAAGAGAAUGUUUCCCAUAGCAUCCUUGUUCUGUAUUUACAUAUCAGAAUAUUCUGCAGGGUUAGUCCAGUUUUAUCUUUGUUAUUUAAAGCAGUGAAUCAAUUCUGAUAUUCUCUAACACCUUCUGAGAUCCUUUUCAAUUACUUCCCUGCUAACAUGCCAUGAUCCCUACCAUACUUCACAGUCCUAAUUUCCAAGAAAAGGGGGCAUGCAGUAAAUCACAGGGAGGGAGCAAAACAUCAAAGUGUGCCAAUUCAUGGUUCUGAUUUUAUACCCCAAUUUCCUGGCUGAAUUUACAGAGUGGCCCAUAGUCAACCACUUUCAUCUCAUAUAUCCCUGCAAACUACUCCCUCUCCACCUAGUGAAAUUCUCUUAUUCUUGCACAUGCAGAUCACAGGUAGCUCCAUCUAUGAACCUUCUCAAGCUGUACUGUUCCAGAAUAAUAGGUUUCCUCAAUGUCAUAAGCAUCCAUUGUUUGUAAGCACAUCUAGAAUUCUGUAUCUCUAUGACAAUUAUCCAUGCAAACAAUAAUUAUGUCACAUUUUAAGACAAUGAUGCAUGUUACAGCUACCACUGCCAUUCUUUCCAAAAAUAUAGCAAUCCUAGAAACACAAGCUUUCCUUCCAGGCCAAAUGAAUAAUAAAAAAGUUAAUGCAUAUUUUCACCCUAUCUUUUUCCAUUCUUAUUAUUUUCUUGAAAUAGUCAUUGCCAGUUACUCUUUACUUAUAUUAUCAGUAUCAGUCUCUAAAUUCAGUUCUUCUCAACAGCUGUAAAUAUUUCCCAUAGUCAAAGAAGAAAUUGAGAACAUUUACAUUUUUCUCACUGUCUCCUGCCAAAAUAUUGACUAUUUGUCAGUUUUGGAUUAUGUUACAUUGGUUGAAUAAUCUUCCCACCAGGAGCUAUUUCUCUGUGUUUUAUAGUAUAGAUAGUGCACUGCAGGCAUGGUGGAUUAUGACUAUUAUCAUAACAAAAAGAGUGCAGUCUCAUAUUCUUACAGAAAAUUGAGAAGCAGUGGAAACUCAUGUCUGGCCAAGAUCAAACUGGGAGCCAUUUUUCUAGGUAUUCAAUCAAUCAGAAUCACAUGGAUGGGUAUUAAAAAUAUUUGUCUAAUAGAUCAUGUCCUCUAAUAUAAUAGCAUAGGACUUUAGUAUUAUCAUAUCCAGAGGAAAGGAAGAUUCAUGAUGCAAUACUAAUAAAAAGAAAACUAUUCAAAAAUACACACAGCAGGGACUGAAACUGGAUGAACUGGGAGGAAACAAGAAACAAGCCAAAUCAUAUAUAAGAGGAUUGCCUCCGGUUAAGAGGGAUGUCUUUAAGGAUUUUAUUUCUUACACAGCUCUUUAUUGUGUAAAUUUUUCUUCAGUAAUCACUGUUUGCUAUAGUACGGAAAAAAUGU